CUAUACAUGCAGUCGAGCGGACAGAUGGGAGCUUGCUCCCUGAUGUUAGCGGCGGACGGGUGAGUAACACGUGGGUAACCUGCCUGUAAGACUGGGAUAACUCCGGGAAACCGGGGCUAAUACCGGAUGGUUGUUUGAACCGCAUGGUUCAGACAUAAAAGGUGGCUUCGGCUACCACUUACAGAUGGACCCGCGGCGCAUUAGCUAGUUGGUGAGGUAACGGCUCACCAAGGCGACGAUGCGUAGCCGACCUGAGAGGGUGAUCGGCCACACUGGGACUGAGACACGGCCCAGACUCCUACGGGAGGCAGCAGUAGGGAAUCUUCCGCAAUGGACGAAAGUCUGACGGAGCAACGCCGCGUGAGUGAUGAAGGUUUUCGGAUCGUAAAGCUCUGUUGUUAGGGAAGAACAAGUGCCGUUCAAAUAGGGCGGCACCUUGACGGUACCUAACCAGAAAGCCACGGCUAACUACGUGCCAGCAGCCGCGGUAAUACGUAGGUGGCAAGCGUUGUCCGGAAUUAUUGGGCGUAAAGGGCUCGCAGGCGGUUUCUUAAGUCUGAUGUGAAAGCCCCCGGCUCAACCGGGGAGGGUCAUUGGAAACUGGGGAACUUGAGUGCAGAAGAGGAGAGUGGAAUUCCACGUGUAGCGGUGAAAUGCGUAGAGAUGUGGAGGAACACCAGUGGCGAAGGCGACUCUCUGGUCUGUAACUGACGCUGAGGAGCGAAAGCGUGGGGAGCGAACAGGAUUAGAUACCCUGGUAGUCCACGCCGUAAACGAUGAGUGCUAAGUGUUAG
RNAcentral lists this ribosomal RNA (794 nucleotides) under Bacillus amyloliquefaciens. RNAcentral's name for it is "bacterial SSU rRNA". It matches the Rfam family "Bacterial small subunit ribosomal RNA", at positions 49 to 826 of the family's 1533-position model. Lineage: Bacteria; Bacillati; Bacillota; Bacilli; Caryophanales; Bacillaceae. The record is from RNAcentral.